This 253-nucleotide ribosomal RNA is filed under the name uncultured bacterium. Its description in RNAcentral is "partial 16S ribosomal RNA". It matches the Rfam family "Bacterial small subunit ribosomal RNA", at positions 524 to 776 of the family's 1533-position model. The record is from RNAcentral.
UACGAAGGGUCCAAGCGUUAUCCGGAUUUAUUGGGUUUAAAGGGUGCGUAGGCGGCUUAUUAAGUCAGUGGUGAAAGACUUCAGCUUAACUGAAGAACUGCCAUUGAUACUGAUGAGCUUGAGUACAGUUGAGGUGGGCGGAAUGUGUCAUGUAGCGGUGAAAUGCUUAGAUAUGACAUAGAACACCAAUUGCGAAGGCAGCUCACUACGCGAAUAUUGACACUGAGGCACGAAAGCGUGGGGAUCAAACAGG